This 1331-nucleotide ribosomal RNA is filed under the name Paenarthrobacter nicotinovorans. Its description in RNAcentral is "bacterial SSU rRNA". It matches the Rfam family "Bacterial small subunit ribosomal RNA", at positions 80 to 1423 of the family's 1533-position model. Lineage: Bacteria; Bacillati; Actinomycetota; Actinomycetes; Micrococcales; Micrococcaceae. The record is from RNAcentral.
UUGCUGGGGGGAUUAGUGGCGAACGGGUGAGUAACACGUGAGUAACCUGCCCUUGACUCUGGGAUAAGCCUGGGAAACUGGGUCUAAUACCGGAUAUGACUCCUCAUCGCAUGGUGGGGGGUGGAAAGCUUUUGUGGUUUUGGAUGGACUCGCGGCCUAUCAGCUUGUUGGUGGGGUAAUGGCCUACCAAGGCGACGACGGGUAGCCGGCCUGAGAGGGUGACCGGCCACACUGGGACUGAGACACGGCCCAGACUCCUACGGGAGGCAGCAGUGGGGAAUAUUGCACAAUGGGCGCAAGCCUGAUGCAGCGACGCCGCGUGAGGGAUGACGGCCUUCGGGUUGUAAACCUCUUUCAGUAGGGAAGAAGCGAAAGUGACGGUACCUGCAGAAGAAGCGCCGGCUAACUACGUGCCAGCAGCCGCGGUAAUACGUAGGGCGCAAGCGUUAUCCGGAAUUAUUGGGCGUAAAGAGCUCGUAGGCGGUUUGUCGCGUCUGCUGUGAAAGACCGGGGCUCAACUCCGGUUCUGCAGUGGGUACGGGCAGACUAGAGUGCAGUAGGGGAGACUGGAAUUCCUGGUGUAGCGGUGAAAUGCGCAGAUAUCAGGAGGAACACCGAUGGCGAAGGCAGGUCUCUGGGCUGUAACUGACGCUGAGGAGCGAAAGCAUGGGGAGCGAACAGGAUUAGAUACCCUGGUAGUCCAUGCCGUAAACGUUGGGCACUAGGUGUGGGGGACAUUCCACGUUUUCCGCGCCGUAGCUAACGCAUUAAGUGCCCCGCCUGGGGAGUACGGCCGCAAGGCUAAAACUCAAAGGAAUUGACGGGGGCCCGCACAAGCGGCGGAGCAUGCGGAUUAAUUCGAUGCAACGCGAAGAACCUUACCAAGGCUUGACAUGAACCGGUAAUACCUGGAAACAGGUGCCCCGCUUGCGGUCGGUUUACAGGUGGUGCAUGGUUGUCGUCAGCUCGUGUCGUGAGAUGUUGGGUUAAGUCCCGCAACGAGCGCAACCCUCGUUCUAUGUUGCCAGCGCGUUAUGGCGGGGACUCAUAGGAGACUGCCGGGGUCAACUCGGAGGAAGGUGGGGACGACGUCAAAUCAUCAUGCCCCUUAUGUCUUGGGCUUCACGCAUGCUACAAUGGCCGGUACAAAGGGUUGCGAUACUGUGAGGUGGAGCUAAUCCCAAAAAGCCGGUCUCAGUUCGGAUUGGGGUCUGCAACUCGACCCCAUGAAGUCGGAGUCGCUAGUAAUCGCAGAUCAGCAACGCUGCGGUGAAUACGUUCCCGGGCCUUGUACACACCGCCCGUCAAGUCACGAAAGUUGGUAACACCCG